Molecule: long non-coding RNA, 221 nt
Filed under: Lathyrus oleraceus (garden pea)
Lineage: Eukaryota; Viridiplantae; Streptophyta; Magnoliopsida; Fabales; Fabaceae
Description: Pisum sativum (pea) long non-coding RNA (PSAT_LNC036815)
Source: RNAcentral
AAAACCCCAAAAGAUACCAAAAGCCCAAGAAAGUGCGAGAACAAAAAAUAAAAAAUUGAUGACUCGAGAGAAAGAAAGAAAAAAAAAGAGAAAAAUUUAUAACUCGAAGAUUCAGAAAGAAGCACGAAAAAGGGCAUUCGGUGAAGAAAAGAAAAUAAGAAAAGAAAACCGAGCAAAUAAGAGAAACAAACAUAGUAUGUAACAUCGACUCUGAACCAAAA